RNAcentral lists this transfer RNA (73 nucleotides) under Dyscophus insularis (Antsouhy tomato frog). Its description in RNAcentral is "tRNA-Asn". It matches the Rfam family "tRNA". Rfam says of the family: Transfer RNA (tRNA) molecules are approximately 80 nucleotides in length. Their secondary structure includes four short double-helical elements and three loops (D, anti-codon, and T loops). The record is from RNAcentral. Lineage: Eukaryota; Metazoa; Chordata; Amphibia; Anura; Microhylidae.
UAGAAGGAAGCUCGCUGGAUAGAGUGUUUAGCUGUUAACUAAGAUAUUGUAGGAUCGAGGCCUGCCUUUCUAA